GGGAGGCUGGUGGGGGGAGAUCCUGACCCCUUCUAUACUAAUGCGGCCCCUGGAGCCUUCACUUAGAAGACAUCUACCUUGCGACUUCCUUUCUGGCAAGUUAUUAGUUGGGGGUGGGGCAGCACCCCACACGGAGUCUGGGUAAUGUCCGCCAAGGCCCGCCUCGCUCCUCCCAGAGCCGGGCGAGCAGCGUUCCCAUAGCAACCGGCCCGCCCGGGCCCGCUCGAGUUACAAAGAAGACGCGGCCUCCCGCGGGGGCAGCGCCGGGCCGGCGCAGGCGGAGCUCCCAGACCCGGCGGACUCUAAGCCAGCUAGCCAGAUUUUCGUUGCGAGAGCGCUGGGGCCCAGGCCUAGCCUAGGAGGUCCCUGAGUCCCCCACCCGCCCCUUAAUUCUCUGUGAAUCCUGUUUGCAAAGAGGGCUCUUUGCCAACGCCUGUCCUUGGCAGCGUUAGACCAGGCUCGGAGGCAGCGCUGCCUCGUGUUGCCCAAAAGUGGGAGAGAAGACAAAGCACUGAGUGGCCUUCCUGCGCACGGCUGUCAGUUCCGGACCGCCCUCCGUCACUCCUGCAAGAGCCCCACCCUGUCCCUGAGAGAAGGAGCAGACGGCCCAAAGCAUGCCUCUAGUCGUAGCCCUAGAUGCUUUCACUUGAAGGGGGCUGUCGAUGCACAUGUUGCCUAUUCAAAAACAACUUUUGGAAAUCUAAAACAAAAACUCAGUUCUUUUUCAAAGAUGCUCACCAUUUCAUGUCAUGGAUCCCGUAUCCUAAUUUCACCUGUUUCAAUCAAAGUGUGAACUUA
This 798-nucleotide long non-coding RNA is filed under the name Equus asinus (donkey). RNAcentral's name for it is "lncRNA (ENSEASG00005001052.2)". Lineage: Eukaryota; Metazoa; Chordata; Mammalia; Perissodactyla; Equidae. The record is from RNAcentral.